CUUGGAUUGCAAACGCCACUGAGACCAACAGUGACUAUAAAAUGAAAUUUCUGGUGAGGAAUAGGCCCACAAAAAGAAUAUCUUUUGAGGUGUGGCUUGCUGAAGAGGGAGACUGAAGUAGAGACUUGGAGGAAUUGAGGACAGACUGAUCACUCGGGGGACAAACAUUCCAGAUGGAAGGAACACCUGGCGUGUCCUCGGGCACCACCCACACACUGCAGGAUGUCGCUGCCCCCCUUACCUGACAAUGUUCAUGGAGCCAGGGUUAUAGUCAUUUUCGUUCACACCCAUGACGAAUGUUGGUGCAUCCGGCGAGGGCGCAGAGAUGACCACGCGUUGAGCACCUGCUGAGAUGUGGUCCUGGGGAGGAGGCGCAGGUGUCAGGUGCUUCUGGCGCCAUUGUCCCCCUAGCUGGCCCUGGGCAUGCCUCCCCCGCUUACCGAAGCUGCCUCUAUGGAGAGGUACACGCCUGUGGACUCCACCACGUAGGGGCUCCCAACAGCCCUCCAGGGGAUCUGUUUGGGCUCCUUGCUGCGGGGUAGUGGCAGGGCUGAGUCAGUCUCUCCUGCGUGGGCCCCACCUUCAGAGUCCACAGCCUUCACCAGUUGAAAGGCUGAGCAUGCGCCUUCCUGCAGGUGCCGGCCCGCCUACAACCACCUGGGUCCCCCACCCCACACACCUACCUGCCCCAGAUGGAUCGCACCCUGCUGGCCUUGCUUUUCACCACUGCCCUGCUUCAGACCACUUUCCCUGUGUUGAUUGCACCACCCCUGCUAUGCCUGGGUACUGGCAGUGACCUCCCCAACUCAGCCCUCAACUUCCUCAGAGGCACCAACCCUAACUGGUACCAGCCAGCUCAGACCCUUUCUUCAUACACUGCCCAGGACGUGGACUCUGUGACCAUGAGGCCUGCCCAGCUGCUUUCUGGCCCCCAGCGUUGAAAACCUUGUCAUGAACCCUCCUGGACCCUCAGAUCUUGCAAUAGGAAGCUGGCUGCCAAAGGCCAGGAGAGUCUCUGAAAACAGACACUGCAUUAAAGAAAACGCUCCUGGAGGAAGCCUGAAGCCUGAGGCAGCCUUGGGCCAGCAGUGGCUCCUGGUUUACAUUAGAAAAGGGAGGUUUGGGGAUUCUUGUUUUCUAAAUUUACGUUUUUACUUGGCAUUUUGACACAUGUUUGUAUUUGAAACAUACUGAACAUCUAGUAUUGCUGUUUUCUACUUGGCUUUAGCAACAAGCAUUAAGUGAAUAAACUAUUCCGCUCUCUUCCUUCCCGGGUUUAUCAUGA
This is a non-coding RNA of Saimiri boliviensis boliviensis (Bolivian squirrel monkey), 1285 nucleotides long. The record is from RefSeq and is a predicted model, not a curated record. NCBI's taxonomy places the organism in Eukaryota, Metazoa, Chordata, Mammalia, Primates, Cebidae.